AAUGAGGGAAACCUUGAUGCAGCGACGCCGCGUGCGGGACGAAGGCCCUAGGGUUGUAAACCGCUUUCAGUAGGGACGAAAGUGACGGUACCUACAGAAGAAGCCCCGGCCAACUAUGUGCCAGCAGCCGCGGUGAUACAUAGGGGGCAAGCGUUGUCCGGAUUUACUGGGCGUAAAGAGCUCGUAGGCGGUUUACCAAGUUAGAAGUGAAAUCUCCAUGCUCAACAUGGAGCGGCCUUUUAAAACUGGUAUGACUUGAGUACGGUAGAGGAGUGUGGAAUUCCCGGUGUAGCGGUGAAAUGCGCAGAUAUCGGGAGGAACACCUAUGGCGAAGGCAGCACUCUGGGCCGAAACUGACGCUGAGGAGCGAAAGCGUGGGGAGCGAA
RNAcentral lists this ribosomal RNA (386 nucleotides) under uncultured bacterium. RNAcentral's name for it is "bacterial SSU rRNA". It matches the Rfam family "Bacterial small subunit ribosomal RNA", at positions 370 to 772 of the family's 1533-position model. The record is from RNAcentral.